UACGUAGGGGGCAAGCGUUGUCCGGAAUCAUUGGGCGUAAAGAGCGCGUAGGCGGCCCUGUAAGUCCGCUGUGAAAGUCAAGGGCUCAACCCUUGGAUGCCGGUGGAUACUGCAGGGCUAGAGUCCGGAAGAGGAGAGUGGAAUUCCUGGUGUAGCGGUGAAAUGCGCAGAUAUCAGGAAGAACACCCGUGGCGAAGGCGGCUCUCUGGGACGGUACUGACGCUGAGACGCGAAAGCGUGGGGAGCGAGCAGG
This 253-nucleotide ribosomal RNA is filed under the name uncultured bacterium. RNAcentral's name for it is "partial 16S ribosomal RNA". It matches the Rfam family "Bacterial small subunit ribosomal RNA", at positions 524 to 776 of the family's 1533-position model. The record is from RNAcentral.